GCUUAUGCGCAGAACCGCUCGAUGCGCGGCUUGGAGAAACACACGGAGUGUUCUCCGUAGUCGGGAUAUAUCGUACGUCGUGUUGAAAUAAUACGCGCAACGUAGCAUCGUCGAAUGUCUUUCAUUAUUACAAAAAAAAAAAAGAUAUUGUUACACGUGUGUAAAAAUAUAAGUGUUCAAUAGUAGAAAAUACAUUGAAAAGCAUAAAAACGCGAAAAUGGCCGAGAACGAGCAAAAGGCGAUGCAACUAAUCGCGGAGGCGGAGAAAAAAUUGGGCUCAUCCAAAGGAUUCUUUGGCUCUCUGUUCGGUGGAUCAUCCAAAGUGGAAGAAGCUGUAGAAUGUUAUCAACGAGCAGCAAAUAUGUUCAAGAUGGCAAAAAAGUGGCCUUCGGCAGGUGCUGCUUUUUGCGAAGCUGCUACUCUUCAUUCCAAAGCUGGAAGUCGUCACGAUGCUGCUACCAAUUAUGUUGAUGCUGCUAACUGUUACAAAAAGACCGAUCCCAAUGAGGCGGCCAAUUGUUUAGUGAAAGCUAUAGAAAUCUACACAGACAUGGGUAGAUUUACAAUGGCUGCGAAGCAUCAUCAAAGUAUAGCUGAGAUGUACGAAAGUGAAGCGGUUGAUCUAGAAUUAGCCGUACAUCAUUAUGAACAGGCCGCUGAUUACUUUCGAGGUGAAGAAAGCAUCUCUUCGGCCAAUAAAUGCUUGUUGAAAGUUGCUCAGUAUGCAGCUCAGCUGAAGAACUAUGACAAAGCCAUACAGAUUUACGAACAGGUUGCAUCUGCAUCUCUAGAGAGUCCUUUGCUUAAAUAUAGUGCUAAGGAAUAUUUCUUUAGGGCAGCGCUCUGUAAUCUUUGCGUUGAUCCCCUGAAUGCUCAGCACGCGAUCGAACGUUAUCAGGAACAAUACCCCGCAUUCCAGGAUUCACGAGAAUAUAAACUCGUAAAGUCUUUGAUCGAUCUCCUGGAAGAGCAGGAUUUGGAAGGUUUUACCGCAACCGUUACGGAUUACGACUCGAUUUCGCGAUUAGAUCCUUGGUACACGUCGAUGUUGUUACGCAUAAAAAAACAGAUCAACGACAAUCCCGAUUUGCGCUGAUCGAACUUCAUGGCGAAACAAUUUGUUAUAUCGUCGUUACUCUUCCUCCUACCCCCUUCGAGUUUCCUCGCCUGCUCCUGAACGAUACUUCUCACAAAACUCUAAAUGCAUUUAAAAUACAGUUUGACAGCCGACGUAUAAAACGUAUUGCGUCAUUGAAAUUUUUAUCGUUCCGAUGCAUCGAAAGUUCGCUCGUUUAUUUUAUUUCAUUUUUCGGAAUUUGUCCAAUUUUUUCAAAUUAAUUUUAUUCUUCGAGUUCCGAUCUCAAAGAAAUUCUGUCUCAUGUUCGAAAAAAUAUGCAAAAAAUAUACUUGUUUUACGAAAAAAAAAAUUGUCGCACUCGAACGAUGCAAACGUUACGUCGUAACAUUUACGUGUGUGUGCGUUCUACUUGAUCGAGCAACGAGCUUGAACUGUUCAUGACUUAUCGAUUUUAUCGUUUAAAACUGGAUUCAUGUUCACUUUGGGAUUCUGUAACGAAAUCCCACGGAGUCUCGAUCUUUUAUGCAUCACUGACUCGUCUGAGUAAUUCGCGAGAAACUUAACACGAGCGAGGGUCACAAAGAAGAGAAAGAGCGAGAACUAUACCGCGUAGGAGUCUUUAUUCUUUUUCUAUUUUUAUUUUUUGAACAUAAUUCUAUCUUUUGUUAUCCGGGUAACCAUUAAAUCGCACCAUUAUUUAUUGUAUAUCUUUGCUGAUGUAAUUAUUUCACAAAUACUGUUAACGACGUCUUAGAUCAUGUUGUUCAAAGUUUGCAACUUUGAAAUGCAAUAAAGAUCUUUUCUGUCAAUUUUCGAUUUACCAACUUCCGCAAAGAAUAAAGAAUAAUUCGUUUUUUUUUAACUGAUUUUCACUGUAGACUCGUUGAUACUGUAUGUCUGAGAGAAAAAAAGAAUCUCGAAAAAGUCGACCAUCUUCAAAAAGGACAUCAACGAAUAUUGAUAAAGAAUCGUUAGUGCAUUCCAAAGAUGCAAUAUUGAACAUCAUUUUAGAUCAUUAAUCGUUGCAAGUACGUAGUAAACGUGUUUAUCAUCAAACACUGAGAUAAUUCAAUAAGUGUGAGCGGAAGAUAGACAGAAAGAGAGAGAAAGAGAGACAACGUACGAAAGAAGCUUCGACUAGGGAUCGUGAUUUAAGCGCUUCAAAGUAGGAAAAAUAUAGGAAAACGGCUCUUGUAUUCUUUGAUAAUUAAGUGAUAAUUACUGCCCGUUUCUGCCGACGGGACCGUGAGAAAACGGCUUUAAAAAUUUAGAUACUCAAUAUUUUACGACUUUCUCAUAUCUGUGGCAAAAAUGAUAAUCGUUAAAAUUUUGUUUUCGAAACUGAACAAUGAGCAAAACGACAGUUUCCAAAAAUGACAUGUUUUAUCUCGAGAUUUUUUAUUUCUUGAGGCUGAGGGGAAAGGGGAAGGGGCAAAUCGUCAAGUCUGCACUUAUUAUAUGCCUACAUUGUUGAAGAAUCAAGAAGGAGGAUUAAUCAUUGCAUCGACCACAUUUUUCAAACUAGAAGAGAAAAUAAUGAAAGAGAUAAAAGAUUUCUAUUCGUAGAGAAGUUUCAUCUUCGGGCUAUUAUUAACGAUGAAACAAUUAAUCGUAGAUUUAACACCCACGUGCAUAAAUAUACGAUCAAAUAUGUAUUACAUAAACAAAAACAAACAACACAUCCAUGUGUAUGUAUUCUCGCAUACGCUAAUAAAAAUAAAAAAUCGCCACGGAUUUUUUCUUCGCCUGUAUCGUCACUAUUUGUGAUUCGGAUAAAAGUGGACUAAGCUUAGUAAUGAAUCAAUAAAAUGUUAUGUACUGUAGGGCAUACAUAUAUAUUCAUUAUAAUUCAAUUGACUCAA
This 2940-nucleotide unclassified non-coding RNA is filed under the name Venturia canescens. RNAcentral's name for it is "alpha-soluble NSF attachment protein, transcript variant X2". The record is from RNAcentral. Lineage: Eukaryota; Metazoa; Arthropoda; Insecta; Hymenoptera; Ichneumonidae.